AGUGGGGAAUAUUGGACAAUGGGCGAAAGCCUGAUCCAGCAAUGCCGCGUGAGUGAUGAAGGCCUUAGGGUUGUAAAGCUCUUUUACCAGGGAUGAUAAUGACAGUACCUGGAGAAUAAGCUCCGGCUAACUCCGUGCCAGCAGCCGCGGUAAUACGGAGGGAGCUAGCGUUGUUCGGAAUUACUGGGCGUAAAGAGUACGUAGGCGGUGAUUCAAGUCAGAGGUGAAAGCCUGGAGCUCAACUCCAGAACUGCCUUUGAAACUAGAUCGCUAGAAUUGUGGAGAGGUUAGUGGAAUUCCGAGUGUAGAGGUGAAAUUCGUAGAUAUUCGGAAGAACACCAGUGGCGAAGGCGACUAACUGGACACAUAUUGACGCUGAGGUACGAAAGCGUGGGGAGCAAACAGGAGUU
This 410-nucleotide ribosomal RNA is filed under the name alpha proteobacterium SCGC AAA023-E06. RNAcentral describes it as "bacterial SSU rRNA". It matches the Rfam family "Bacterial small subunit ribosomal RNA", at positions 353 to 780 of the family's 1533-position model. The record is from RNAcentral. Lineage: Bacteria; Pseudomonadati; Pseudomonadota; Alphaproteobacteria.